RNAcentral lists this microRNA precursor (80 nucleotides) under Medicago truncatula (barrel medic). RNAcentral describes it as "MIR5298 microRNA precursor family". It matches the Rfam family "MIR5298 microRNA precursor family". Lineage: Eukaryota; Viridiplantae; Streptophyta; Magnoliopsida; Fabales; Fabaceae. The record is from Rfam by way of RNAcentral.
UUAGGUUUUCUUCAUUUUCUUCUGGGAUUCUUGUUGUUGAAGGUUGACGGGGAUGAUAUGAAGAUGAAAAAGAGGAGAAG